GACGAGAAGACCCUAUAGAGUUUGACAUUUGGUUUAUUUAUUUGUUGGUUGUUUGUUUAUUUUGUUGGUGAGUAGGCUUUUUGUUUUGUUGGGGUGAUGAGAGGAAUGUAGUUAACUCUUCUUUAUUUUGAUUAUAUUUAUUUAUAGUUAUUUGAUCCAUUUAUUUUGAUUAUAAGACUAAAUUACCUUAGGGAUAACAGCGUUAUCUUCCUUGAGAGUUCUUAUCGGCAGGGGGGUUUGCGACCUCGAUGUUGGAUUAAGGUGAAUUUUUGGUGUAGGGGCUGAAAGUUGUAUUGGGUCUGUUCGACCCUUGGAAUCUUACAUGAUCUGAGUUCAAACCGGCGUGAGCCAGGUUGGUUUCUAUCUAUAAGUGUGGUUUUAUACCUUAGUACGAGAGGACCAGGUAU
This 407-nucleotide ribosomal RNA is filed under the name Coptotermes sepangensis. Its description in RNAcentral is "16S ribosomal RNA". It matches the Rfam family "Bacterial large subunit ribosomal RNA", at positions 2079 to 2699 of the family's 2925-position model. Lineage: Eukaryota; Metazoa; Arthropoda; Insecta; Blattodea; Rhinotermitidae. The record is from RNAcentral.